Long non-coding RNA from Brienomyrus brachyistius, 662 nucleotides. RefSeq lists it as uncharacterized. The transcript has 3 exons. The record is from RefSeq and is a predicted model, not a curated record. Lineage: Eukaryota; Metazoa; Chordata; Actinopteri; Osteoglossiformes; Mormyridae.
CAGCCUUUGUGGGUGUCAAGCUGACUGACACGAUGGUAACAUAACAUUCUGGGUAAACAGAAAUAUUUAUGUCAAUUAUUAUGACGAGAAAAUCUACUGAUAAUGAAGACGGCUUACGGGAAGUUUGCGAUGUUUCCAUAGACUUACAGAGUCACAUUUUCCAUGAACUUGAUUGCAAUUCAACACCGGCUCCCUAAUAUGGUUUUAUAGGGCUUGUUUUUGUGCAACAUGACACUUGUACACGAGCGUAUUUUGAGAUUCUUUGAAAUCAGCGCUUCUCCCAAACGAAUCCAUGUGACAGCACCUCGUCAGCCAUGGAUUUCCUUUCAUGGCGCUUUCUGGAGAUAACGACUACAGAUCCGUUCCAGAUAAACGACUGGAAGAGAACUCCCUACAUAUGUGGAAAGGAUGUUUGCGCCACACAAAAAGAAAUUAUCAUAAUAUUUCCCUAAAAGACGCAGACCGUCCAUUCUUACAUUUCAGAAAGACGAUCUGAAAGAGGUUGUCAUAAUAAUGAACGUACGAUUGUGACAGAGAAUCAGAAUGAAAAAUGAUCUCAUCAUUGACUCUCCAAGUUCCAGCGACACUUAAUGUCGUUGGCGAACAUUAUUUGUUUAAUCUUGCUACUAAAUAUAAUUAAAAAUUCUUAUACAUGUCCCCAA